GGGGCUUGUGCAGGUUCCAGAAAAGGAGACAUUUGCAUGGAGACCUCCCACCCUGAGCAUUACAGUGAAAGAUAAGAAGGGCUGGUGGCUCCUUCCUGGCUGUGGCUCAGAAAGCAGAGCCUGGGGCGUCUCCACCAUGGCCUGGGCUCCACUCCUCCUCACCCUCCUCACUCACUGCACAGGGUCUUGGGCUGAGGUUGUGUUCACUCAGCCCCAUUCUGUGUCGGGGUCUCCGGGGCAGACGGUCACCAUCUCCUGCACCCGCAGCAGUGGCAGCAUUGACAGUGAAUAUGUGCACUGGUACCAGCAGCGCCCAGGCAGUGCCCCCACCACAGUGAUUUACGAAGAUAACAAAAGACCCUCCGGGGUCCCUGAUCGGUUCUCUGGCUCCAUCGACAGCUCCUCCAACUCUGCCUCCCUCACCAUCUCUGGGCUGAAGUCUGAGGACGAGGCUGACUAUUACUGUCAGUCUUAUGACAGCUACAAUCCCACAGUACUCCAGACCCAUGGGGAAGUGAGACAAGAACUCCCCAGAGCAUCCCCACCCUGGGUCAGCCUCAGCGUCUUCCCACCGGGGUGUGUGGCUCUUCUCUCCUGCCUGAGUAUGAGACUUGCACUUGUCUUCUUACAACUUUCUCUGUUUUCUUUUCAAAAUAUCAAUCUCUCCUUCCAAAUCUUCAUGGAUGAUGAUCAAUUCAUGGGGUAG
Cercocebus atys (sooty mangabey) is the source of this 706-nucleotide non-coding RNA. Lineage: Eukaryota; Metazoa; Chordata; Mammalia; Primates; Cercopithecidae. The record is from the annotation of a RefSeq genome assembly.